Non-coding RNA from Microcebus murinus (gray mouse lemur), 2958 nucleotides. The record is from RefSeq and is a predicted model, not a curated record. NCBI's taxonomy places the organism in Eukaryota, Metazoa, Chordata, Mammalia, Primates, Cheirogaleidae.
CUCCCGAGUAUCUGGGACUACAGGCACGUGCCGUCACCCUGACUAAUUUUUAAUUUUUUGUAGAGACAACAUCUUGCUAUCUCAGUUAGGUUGAUCUCUGGCUUCAAGCAAUCCUCCCCCUCAGGCCCCUAAAGUGCUGGGAUUACAGGUAUGAGCCACCACCCUUGGCUAGGCAAGGUUAGUUUCAACUGAUUAAAUAUUAGUGUCCUUUACCCACAGCCUGAAGAGUCACCCCGUUGAGCUCAUCCUAUACAAGCUGAACCUGAGUCAACUUUAAGACCAGUGAGUAUAAGAAUAGAUGUAUGUGGCUAUAAAGCACUGAGUUUGCAGUGGUUUGCUACAUAGCAUUAUGUUGCAAUAGCUGUGUAACACCACUGGAAAAGGGUCUUUACAGACAUGACUGUAGAAUUUUUUUUUCUCCUAUAUUUAGGAGAAAAAAAAGUCUCUACAAUAGAAAGCUCUGUCUCAUCACUUUCUGCGUUUUAUCUAACGGUGUUGUUCUCGCAUAAUCUGCAAUAGCAACACCACUGUGUUUUAGGAUUUUAAGGAGUCAUAAGCACAUGCUGUAGGACACUCUCUAACAUCACCACUGUUUUUUCCUUUCAUUUGAGAAGGACAUUUCAUUAAUAAGCAGUGACUGUUAUACAAGUUACAUCAAGAUCUGUGUGCCUCUUUCCCAAAAGAUAAAUUACAAGCAUUGUUACAAAAAUCAGAGAGUAUGUAUUGUUUGCAAAAUUCUUAUGAGAGGAGUCCUUCUUUGCCCAGAAUUAUGUUUGCUUGCCUCUCAAUGUUUCCACUGAGUUAUGAUAAGAUGUCACUCAGGACCAAAAGUUUCUGCCCUGGGGGGUGUAUAAAAAAGUUAUUAAUAGACCAUCUCUCCAUGGAAGCAGGAACCCACAGAACUUUGCUGUGGAUUGUGGACUCCAAGGACCAAAUGAACCACACUCUCUUGGACGUUCUGGCCUUGGACAGCAAGGGCACUGUGCCGAGAGCGGGAAGCAGUCUCUAUUGACAUUGUCCCGGACAGUGAAUAAAGGCACAAGUUCCUUGAUGUACGCAUUCUCUCUCUGUGACUACCAUGGGCUUCGCAGCUCACCAUGCACCAGGGGAACUGCUCCUGUGCUCAGGGACCCUCCGAUGACACACACAGGCCACCUCUCUUUGGCCCGAGUGUCUGCACAUCUAGGAUUAUAUAUUACCUGGCUCGAGAUGAUGGCUGAAUGGAUAAACGAACGAAUGAAUGAACUGUGAUAUUCAAGAUUCUCAUUCCACUCUCAUUAUAAUUGGCCAGUGUGUGUCUCAGAACAUUCUGGGCGGAACCUCAUGUGUUUUUAACUUCACCUCUUAUUUCAAACACUGCCGUGGUGCCCAGUCCUGUGCAGGCUUCUACUACCCUUGCACACACACACCCUGACGACAUCUUGCUUUGGCCAUGUAACUCGUUUCUGGCCUCAAGGCUACGUCGGUGCUGUGACAUAGGAUUGCCCUGGGAACCACGGGGCACUCAGGGCUAUUACAAUAUCAAUUCUUGUAUCGCUCAUCAAUCAACAACAAGAUGAUAGAUCUCCUUUUAUCUUAAAAAGAAGAGUCUAGAGAAACAGAGAGAUAUUUCUGAGGAAUAAACUGAUAAUGAGGGAGAUAUUAAGUACCCAGUACAGAACUUUCUCUAAAAGCUCAGUAAUGACUCAUCUCAUGAAAAGAAGCAAGUGUGAGAAUAGAAGGCUAUUUUACAAACUAUGUAAAAUUAGUAGGUCACUGGUGAACAACAUUUAUGAGCAAAACAAAAUUCCCAUGAAAAUUACCAUCAUAUGCUGUCAUGUCUGCCGUUCUAUAUGUCAUUAAUAUUACUUAAGAAACAAAUAUUUAUUAAAGAUGAAUCAUGUACUCAGCACUAGCAAAUAAAGAGGAAAUAGAGAGUAUAAUAUUUAUUCUUGCAAAAAUAGCAUUAACAUAAAUUAGAUAACAGAAAAUAAGAGAACGUAAUCUUAAAAAUAUUAUGUAGCAACACAGAAAGACACAUAUAAUUACAUAUAUACAUUCAAACAAUGAUAAUAUAUAAUUUAUAAAUUAUGAGGUAUGGAAAAGUUCAAUUCUGAAAACCAACAUAAUCAGGAAAAGCUUAGUGAAGGACACGAGAUCUGUGCUGGAUCCUGAAGGACAGGCAGGUAGAGCAUGUACAAGCAGGGGAAAGGACUUCCUGACCAGGGAUAUAUCAUAUUUAAAAACUAGGAGGCAGGGCUGAGCAUCAUGUGUUAAUGGGACAGUGAAGAGAUCUUCCUCUGCAGAUUAAAAAAAAAUAAUAAUAAUAAUGGGAAGCUGCAUGGUUAAAAGAUUUGACACUUAAGGUAGAGCAGACAGUAAAGGUCUCAAAGUCGAGGCAUAGGGGUACAAUGAAAACAUAGAAAAUAGAUAGUGAAAAACUAUUACACAAGGGAAUAAUAAAGAUUUGUAAAUUUGGCACAGAGGAUGGAUUAAAACAGGGAGGACUGCGUUGAGGGACGUUAGCAAGAAGGCUAUGCAGUUGUGAGGGCUUGGACUAAGAUGCUGCAGCAGAUGGCCAAGAGCAAAAGUCAUGUUCAUAGUUGAAUACAUGGAUGAUCUUAUCAACUAUGAAGUACAUGGUUUUUUUUUUUAAGAUAAAAGUGCAGUAGAGAAGAAAAAAGCAUGUAAUAAUUUUAAGAGUAGUAUGACCUGUUUUUUUCCUCCUUUCUGAUUAAUUUUUAAAUCACUUUUCUUAAGUUAACAAACAUCUCGACAUCAAGACAGCCUCCUCAGUUCUUUUGAGUUUCAUAAAAAGGGGGAUUCUCCAAUGAAGACAUUUUAGAACUAGAGGGACUCCCAUUUGCAAUCUGAAGAAGAUUCCAGAAUAUAUUCUUUUACAUGUACUUCACAGCAACAACAAAAAUAAAUAAAUGGGACUUGGUUAAAUUAAAAAACUUCUGCACAGCCAUGCAAACA